Long non-coding RNA from Gallus gallus (chicken), 300 nucleotides. NCBI's taxonomy places the organism in Eukaryota, Metazoa, Chordata, Aves, Galliformes, Phasianidae. The record is from Ensembl.
AUCUGAAUGUUGAGGAGCAACGCUGAGAAUGUCCACAGAAGGAGAAUCUGAUGAAUGAGCUGGUGGCUAAAAGAAGAGAUUAGCAUCAGAGGAAGCAACAACACCAGCCUGACGUGGGGCAGAGGAGCAUCUCGGCUGGCAGCGUGGACUCACAGAAGCAGGCAGGAUGGAUGUGGGCACCCAGACCCAGCCAGCCUCAGCUCAGCAAGGAGAUACCACAAGUUCCAGUGCAACACAACAGCUAUGGAAGAAUUUUUCCUUGAAGUUCCUCAAGCCGUGCCGGCCAGGGACAAAGCCCCG